AAAAUUAUGAUGAAACUUCAAUCCGUAAAAUGAUAAAAUUAUUCAAAAUUUAAAAUAAUUAUAAUUAAAUUAAAUUUUUAAUCAAUAUAUAAUUAUAUUUUUUAAGUGCUAUUUUUAAUUAUAUCAAUUGUAUUUUUAAAUUUUAAAUUUAUUUUUUAAAUUAGAAUUAAUUGAAUCGACUCUAAAAUAAAUAAGUAUGGUUCACAAUUUGUUUUUAAUCAUUUUCCACAACAGAAUAACCAC
RNAcentral lists this long non-coding RNA (243 nucleotides) under Lathyrus oleraceus (garden pea). Its description in RNAcentral is "Pisum sativum (pea) long non-coding RNA (PSAT_LNC031162)". The record is from RNAcentral. Lineage: Eukaryota; Viridiplantae; Streptophyta; Magnoliopsida; Fabales; Fabaceae.